AACGAACGCUGGCGGCAUGCUUAACACAUGCAAGUCGAACGAGAACUUCUGGUUUCGUGGCGCACGGGUGCGUAAAGCGUGAAAAACUGCCCUUUGGUUCGGAAUAAACCCCCGAAAGGGGUGCCUAUUACGCCUAAUGUCUUCGGACCAAAGAAUUAUCGCCUGUGGAUGGGCGCGCGUUGGAUUAUCUCGUUGGUGGGGUACAAGACUACAACGGCGACGAUCUAUAGCUGGUCUGAGAGGAUGAUCAGACACACUGGGACUGAGACACGGCACACACUCCUACGAGAGGGAGCAGGGGGGAAUAUUGGACAAGGGGCGAGAGUCUGAUCCAGCAACGCCGUGGGAGUGAAGAAGGUAUGAGUGGUGUAAAGCUCUUUUAGCCGGGAAAAUAAUGACAGUACCUGGAGAAUAAGCUCCGGCUAACUCCGUG
Molecule: ribosomal RNA, 433 nt
Filed under: uncultured bacterium
Lineage: Bacteria
Description: partial 16S ribosomal RNA
Rfam family: Bacterial small subunit ribosomal RNA
Source: RNAcentral